RNAcentral lists this unclassified non-coding RNA (425 nucleotides) under Argostemma elatostemma. RNAcentral describes it as "partial external transcribed spacer". The record is from RNAcentral. Lineage: Eukaryota; Viridiplantae; Streptophyta; Magnoliopsida; Gentianales; Rubiaceae.
AACCAGGUAGCAUUCCUCACGGACAUCGAGCCGCACGAAGCUUGCGCUCAAGCGGCACAGAUUGUCGUUCGAAUGUAUCUUUCGAUGAUUAUCGUGGGCAAAUAGAGGUCGAAGACCCCACGCCCCCAGUGUAUUCCGCAUCCCGAAGCCCAAACGAGGAGUCGUGCCCCGCGACGACGAAGCCGAUGGCUUGAAGACAGGGAGCACAAAUCUCGUUUCGAGGUUCACCCGAAGUCGCUCCGUGUAAACGGUCGACCCUAGGUGGACGAGGUAUUAUUUGCCAAUCGAAUUCCACUAUGUGGGUAUGCAACACAGGAAACCGACCGAACGGCCAAGGCUAAGAGUCGCUCUUGGGCCAACCAUUGAAGAGGACCGCACGGUCGGACGUCACCGCACGAAGCAGGGAUCCAACCAACCCAUACAAG